This 510-nucleotide ribosomal RNA is filed under the name uncultured bacterium. RNAcentral describes it as "partial 16S ribosomal RNA". It matches the Rfam family "Bacterial small subunit ribosomal RNA", at positions 28 to 507 of the family's 1533-position model. The record is from RNAcentral.
GACGAACGCUGGCGGCGUGCUUAACACAUGCAAGUCGAACGAAGAGCGAUGGAAGCUUGCUUCUAUCAAUCUUAGUGGCGAACGGGUGAGUAACGCGUAAUCAACCUGCCCUUCAGAGGGGGACAACAGUUGGAAACGACUGCUAAUACCGCAUACGAUCUAAUCUCGGCAUCGAGGAUAGAUGAAAGGUGGCCUCUACAUGUAAGCUAUCACUGAAGGAGGGGAUUGCGUCUGAUUAGCUAGUUGGAGGGGUAACGGCCCACCAAGGCGAUGAUCAGUAGCCGGUCUGGGAGGAUGAACGGCCACAUUGGGACUGAGACACGGCCCAGACUCCUACGGGAGGCAGCAGUGGGGAAUCUUCCGCAAUGGACGAAAGUCUGACGGAGCAACGCCGCGUGAGCGAUGACGGCCUUCGGGUUGUAAAGCUCUGUUAAUCGGGACGAAGGGCCUUCUUGCGAAUAGUGAGAAGGAUUGACGGUACCGGAAUAGAAAGCCACGGCUAACUACGUG